RNAcentral lists this non-coding RNA (30 nucleotides) under Rattus norvegicus (Norway rat). Lineage: Eukaryota; Metazoa; Chordata; Mammalia; Rodentia; Muridae. The record is from RNAcentral.
UAAUACAGCCGAAUUGUAUUUGAAAGUAGC